AGAGUUAAACAGUACGUGAAAUUGUUGAAAGGGAAACGAUUGAAGUCAGUCGUGCUGGCGCGAAAUCAGCUCGACCACUUGGGGAUCACGGGCCGUAGCGAGCCUCAAAACCGUUACGACUUGUGAUUGCUUGGUGGCCUGGUGCACUUUCGUGUCGGCUGGUUAACAUCAAUUUCGAUCGUCAUAAAAAGGCUGGAGGGAUGUGGCUCCUUCGGGAGUGUUAUAACCUUUGGCGGAAUGUGGUGGUCGGGAUUGAGGUUUGCAACGAAUACCUUCAGGGCUGUUCCACCUGGCCUCUCGUCGGCAUCCUGGCGACGACAGCUUGCUGACGUUGUUAGGAUCAGCUUUCGAACAGGCUAGAGUGUGAGCAAAUUCGUUAAGGAUGUUAACGUAAUGGCUUUAAACGACC
This 409-nucleotide ribosomal RNA is filed under the name uncultured fungus. RNAcentral describes it as "eukaryotic LSU rRNA". Lineage: Eukaryota; Fungi. The record is from RNAcentral.